AGUGAACGUUGGCGGCGUGGAUUAGGCAUGCAAGUCGAGCGAGAACCGUAGCAAUACGGGGACAGCACGAAAGGGACAGUAAUGUGUAGGUACCUACCUCCGGGUUCGGGAUAGCUGCGGGAAACUGCAGGUAAUACCGAAUAAUGUCUCCGGACCAAAGGUGUGAUUCCACAUGGAGAGGGGCCUGCAUCCUAUUAGCUGGUUGGCGGGGUAACGGCCCACCAAGGCGACGAGGGGUAGCGGGUGUGAGAGCACGACCCGCGUCAUUGGGACUGAGACACUGCCCAGACACCUACGGGUGGCUGCAGUCGUGAAUCUUCGGCAAUGGGCGCAAGCCUGACCGAGCGACGCCGCGUGCGGGAUGAAGGCCUUCGGGUUGUAAACCGCUGUCGUAGAGGAGGAAAUGCAGGGGGGUCCUCCCCUCUGUUUGACCUAUUCUAGGAGGAAGUACGGGCUAAGUUCGUGCCAGCCGCCGCAGUAA
This 481-nucleotide ribosomal RNA is filed under the name uncultured bacterium. RNAcentral's name for it is "partial 16S ribosomal RNA". It matches the Rfam family "Bacterial small subunit ribosomal RNA", at positions 28 to 523 of the family's 1533-position model. The record is from RNAcentral.